AUGGAGAGGGGGGAGGUGGGUUCUGUGCCCCUUCCUCAGCGCCCUCAGUGUCCUCCGGGUGGCUGCAGUGCCAAGGACAGGGUGUCCCCAGGGUGCCACCCCUGUGUCCCCUCUCCCCAGGAGCCCUGUAGCCCCUGUCAAGUGCACAGAAAGGACUGGGAAGGACAAUGUCACCUUGGGGGAGGGAUGCUGCUGCCUGCCUGCUCCUGCCCAGACACUUUGCUGGCUCUCUGCUCUGGGCACGGGGCUGGCAGGAUUCCACCACCCAAAUCCCAUCCACCACAGGGACACUUGUGCCUGUUUUUUUCUUGGCUGGCAGGCAGGGAGGGAGCCUCAGCUCUGCCCAGCCUCAUCCAGCAGCAUAAAAAUCCAUCAGCAGCUGCUGCCCUGUGCCCCCCAUCAACCUCCAGCCAAAGGGACAAGGAACAGCCCCUCUGUGUCCCCUCCCCAGUGACACUGUCCCUGCUGUCCUGGGCUCUUUGUGGAGGGAUGUCACCGUGCUGCCUGGUGCCCAAGUGCCAGCAGGAGCUGCAGGUGCUCAGGACCCAUCAGGAUGCCCAGGCCACCCCAAUUCCCUCUGUAGGGCAUUGGGGUCAUUGGGGGGCCCAGAGCCAUAGCAGUGCCCCCGUGUGCUCUGCCUUCAGCGGUGUCUCUCUCGUCCUAGUUCCCUUAUGCUGCUCCACCUCCUCAGGAACCCGUGAAGACCCUCAGGAGUUUAAUCAACAUCCGCAAGGACACCCUGCGCCUCGUCAAGAUGGAGGAUGAGCCUCUGCCCUUCCCCUCCUGGCUCCCAGGGCCGUUCUCAUUCCUGCACGAUGGAGGAUGAGCCCCUGUCCUUCCCCUGCUCUCAUUCAGGAUGGAGGAUGANGAACAGCGACCUCAACUUCCUGGGCAACCGGCCCGUGGUGGUGGGUACCGGGGGAAGCGGGGCACCGGGGGGAACCGGGGAGGCUGAGUGUGACAGGGGGUGUGUGUAACAGGGGGUGUGUGUGACAUGAUGGGUGUGCGGAACAGGCUGAGUGUGACAGAGGGUGUGUGGGAUAGGCUGUGUGUGACAGGGGGGUGUGCGGGACAGGCUGAGUGUGACAGGGGGUGUGUGGGACAGGCUGUGUGUGACAUGAAGGCUGUGUGUGACAGGCUGAGUGUGACAGGGACUGUGUGGGACAGGCUGAGUGUGACAGGGGGUGUGUGUGUGAAAAGGGGUGUGUGUGACAGACUGUGUGGGACAGGCUGUGUGUGACAGGGGAUGUGCAGGACAGGCUGAGUGUGACGGAGGGUGUGUGGGACAGGCUGUGUGUGACAUGAGGGGUGUGUGUGACAGGCUGUGUGUGACAUGGGGUGUGUGCGGGACAGGCUGUGUGUGACAUGGGGGGAUGUGCAGGACAGGCUGAGUGUGACAGGGGAUGUGUGGGACAGGGACUGUGUGUGACAGGGGAUGUGCAGGACAGGCUGUGUGUGACAUGGGGGAUGUGCGGGACAGGCUGAGUGUGACAGGGGGUGUGUGUGACAGGCUGAGUGUGACAGGGGGUGUGUGGGACAGGGUGUGUGUGACAGCCUGUGUGUGACAGGGGUUGUGCAGGACAGGCUGAGUGUGACAGGGACUGUGUGGGACAGGGGGUGUGUGACAGGCUGAGUGUGACAGGGGGUGUGUGACAGGGGCUGCAGGACAGGCUGAGUGGGAUAGGGGAGCGCAGGACAGGGAGCAUGGGACAGGCUGAGUGUGACAUGAGGGGUGUGCAGGACAGGCUGAGUGUGACAGGGACUG
Molecule: long non-coding RNA, 1765 nt
Organism: Zonotrichia albicollis (white-throated sparrow)
Lineage: Eukaryota; Metazoa; Chordata; Aves; Passeriformes; Passerellidae
Source: Ensembl